UGGGGAAUUUUGCACAAUGGGGGAAACCCUGAUGCAGCGACGCCGCGUGAUUUAGAAGGCCUUCGGGUUGUAAAAAUCUUUUCUAUGGGAAGAAAAUGACAGUACCAUAGGAAUAAGGACCGGCUAAUUACGUGCCAGCAGCCGCGGUAAUACGUAAGGUCCGAGCGUUGUCCGGAAUCAUUGGGCGUAAAGGGUACGUAGGCGGGUAAGCAAGUUAGAAGUGAAAUCCUAUAGCUCAACUAUAGUAAGCUUUAAAAACUGCUCAUCUUGAGGUAUGGAAGGGAAAGUGGAAUUCCUAGUGUAGCGGUGAAAUGCGCAGAUAUUAGGAGGAAUACCGGUGGCGAAGGCGACUUUCUGGCCAUAACCUGACGCUGAGGUACGAAAGCGUGGGUAGCAAACAGG
Molecule: ribosomal RNA, 402 nt
Filed under: bacterium
Lineage: Bacteria
Description: partial 16S ribosomal RNA
Rfam family: Bacterial small subunit ribosomal RNA
Source: RNAcentral